GACGAACGCUGGCGGCGUGCCUAAUACAUGCAAGUAGAACGCUGAAGGAGGAGCUUGCUCUUCUGGAUGAGUUGCGAACGGGUGAGUAACGCGUAGGUAACCUGCCUGGUAGCGGGGGAUAACUAUUGGAAACGAUAGCUAAUACCGCAUAAUAUUGACUAUUGCAUGAUAGUCAAUUGAAAGGUGCAAAUGCACCACUACCAGAUGGACCUGCGUUGUAUUAGCUAGUUGGUGGGGUAACGGCUCACCAAGGCGACGAUACAUAGCCGACCUGAGAGGGUGAUCGGCCACACUGGGACUGAGACACGGCCCAGACUCCUACGGGAGGCAGCAGUAGGGAAUCUUCGGCAAUGGACGGAAGUCUGACCGAGCAACGCCGCGUGAGUGAAGAAGGUUUUCGGAUUGUAAAGCUCUGUUGUAAGAGAAGAACGAGUGUGAGAGUGGAAAGUUCACACUGUGACGGUAUCUACCAGAAAGACG
RNAcentral lists this ribosomal RNA (480 nucleotides) under Streptococcus cristatus. RNAcentral's name for it is "bacterial SSU rRNA". It matches the Rfam family "Bacterial small subunit ribosomal RNA", at positions 28 to 493 of the family's 1533-position model. The record is from RNAcentral. Lineage: Bacteria; Bacillati; Bacillota; Bacilli; Lactobacillales; Streptococcaceae.